GCUUAGAGUUUGAUCCUGGCUCAGGAUGAACGCUGGCGGCGUGCCUAACACAUGCAAGUCGAACGGACUCUUCGGAGUCAGUGGCGGACGGGUGAGUAACGCGUGAGGACCUGCCUCUAGGAGGGGGAUAACAGCGGGAAACGGCUGCUAAUACCCCAUGAGCCGUAAGGUAAAAAGGAAUCCGCCUAGAGAGGGGCUCGCGUCCGAUUAGCUAGUUGGGGAGGUAAAAGCUCACCAAGGCGACGAUCGGUAGCUGGUCUGAGAGGAUGAGCAGCCACACUGGGACUGAGACACGGCCCAGACUCCUACGGGAGGCAGCAGUGGGGAAUUUUCCGCAAUGGGCGAAAGCCUGACGGAGCAACGCCGCGUGAGGGAAGAAGGCCUUUGGGUUGUAAACCUCUUUUCUCAGGGAAGAAGUUCUGACGGUACCUGAGGAAUCAGCCUCGGCUAACUCCGUGCCAGCAGCCGCGGUAAUACGGAGGAGGCAAGCGUUAUCCGGAAUUAUUGGGCGUAAAGCGUUCGUAGGCGGCCGUUCAAGUCUGCUGUCAAAGUCCGAGGCUCAACUUCGGGAAGGCAGUGGAAACUGAACAGCUAGAGGUCGGAAGGGGCAGAGGGAAUUCCCAGUGUAGCGGUGAAAUGCGUAGAUAUUGGGAAGAACACCGGUGGCGAAAGCGCUCUGCUGGGCCGAACCUGACGCUGAGGGACGAAAGCUAGGGGAGCGAAUGGGAUUAGAUACCCCAGUAGUCCUAGCCGUAAACGAUGGAGACUAGGUGUUGCCUGUAUCGACCCGGGCAGUGCCGAAGCCAACGCGUUAAGUCUCCCGCCUGGGGAGUACGCACGCAAGUGUGAAACUCAAGGGAAUUGACGGGGGCCCGCACAAGCGGUGGAGUAUGUGGUUUAAUU
RNAcentral lists this ribosomal RNA (903 nucleotides) under uncultured bacterium. RNAcentral describes it as "bacterial SSU rRNA". It matches the Rfam family "Bacterial small subunit ribosomal RNA", at positions 1 to 951 of the family's 1533-position model. The record is from RNAcentral.